UUGCUUCUGCAGCACACAUACUAAAAUUGGAGUUGUGGAGAUUAGCAUAUCCCCUUUGCAAGGGCGACAUGCAAAUUCAUGAAGCAUACCAUAUUUUU
Small nuclear RNA from Tupaia belangeri (northern tree shrew), 98 nucleotides. The record is from Ensembl. NCBI's taxonomy places the organism in Eukaryota, Metazoa, Chordata, Mammalia, Scandentia, Tupaiidae.